CCUACGGGAGGCAGCAGUGAGGAAUAUUGGUCAAUGGGCUUACGCCUGAACCAGCCAAGUCGCGUGAGGGAAGACUGCCCUAUGGGUUGUAAACCUCUUUUGUCAGGGAGCAACGCCGGCUACGUGUAGCCGGACUGAGAGUACCUGAAGAAAAAGCAUCGGCUAACUCCGUGCCAGCAGCCGCGGUAAUACGGAAGAUGCGAGCGUUAUCCGGAUUUAUUGGGUUUAAAGGGUGCGUAGGCGGAAUGCCAAGUCAGCGGUAAAAUCGCGGGGCUCAACCUCGCUCCGCCGUUGAAACUGGCGGUCUUGAGUGGGCGAGAAGUAUGCGGAAUGCGUGGUGUAGCGGUGAAAUGCAGAGAUAUCACGCAGAACUCCGAUUGCGAAGGCAGCAUACCGGCGCCCAACUGACGCUGAAGCACGAAAGCGUGGGUAUCGAACAGGAUUAGAUACCCCGGUAGUC
This 460-nucleotide ribosomal RNA is filed under the name uncultured bacterium. RNAcentral describes it as "partial 16S ribosomal RNA". It matches the Rfam family "Bacterial small subunit ribosomal RNA", at positions 338 to 795 of the family's 1533-position model. The record is from RNAcentral.